AGGAAUAUUGGUCAAUGGGCGCGAGCCUGAACCAGCCAAGUAGCGUGAAGGAUGAAGGUCCUACGGAUUGUAAACUUCUUUUAUAAGGGAAUAAAGUCAUCUACGUGUAGGUGUUUGUAUGUACCUUAUGAAUAAGCAUCGGCUAACUCCGUGCCAGCAGCCGCGGUAAUACGGAGGAUGCGAGCGUUAUCCGGAUUUAUUGGGUUUAAAGGGAGCGUAGAUGGAUGUUUAAGUCAGUUGUGAAAGUUUGCGGCUCAACCGUAAAAUUGCAGUUGAUACUGGAUAUCUUGAGUGCAGUUGAGGCAGGCGGAAUUCGUGGUGUAGCGGUGAAAUGCUUAGAUAUCACGAAGAACUCCGAUUGCGAAGGCAGCCUGCUAAGCUGCAACUGACAUUGAGGCUCGAAAGUGUGGGUAUCAAACAGGAUUAGAUACCCUGGUAGUCCACACGGUAAACGAUGAAUACUCGCUGUUUGCGAUAUACUGCAAGCGGCCAAGCGAAAGCGUUAAGUAUUCCACCUGGGGAGUACGCCGGCAACGGUGAAACUCAAAGGAAUUGACGGGGGCCCGCACAAGCGGAGGAACAUGUGGUUUAAUUCGAUGAUACGCGAGGAACCUUACCCGGGCUUAAAUUGCAGAUGAAUUACGGUGAAAGCCGUAAGCCGCAAGGCAUCUGUGAAGGUGCUGCAUGGUUGUCGUCAGCUCGUGCCGUGAGGUGUCGGCUUAAGUGCCAUAACGAGCGCAACCCUUGUUGUCAGUUACUAACAGGUUCCGCUGAGGACUCUGACAAGACUGCCAUCGUAAGAUGUGAGGAAGGUGGGGAUGACGUCAAAUCAGCACGGCCCUUACGUCCGGGGCUACACACGUGUUACAAUGGGGGGUACAGAGGGCCGCUACCACGCGAGUGGAUGCCAAUCCCCAAAACCUCUCUCAGUUCGGACUGGAGUCUGCAACCCGACUCCACGAAGCUGGAUUCGCUAGUAAUCGCGCAUCAGCCACGGCGCGGUGAAUACGUUCCCG
RNAcentral lists this ribosomal RNA (1016 nucleotides) under uncultured bacterium. RNAcentral's name for it is "bacterial SSU rRNA". It matches the Rfam family "Bacterial small subunit ribosomal RNA", at positions 357 to 1376 of the family's 1533-position model. The record is from RNAcentral.